Chlorocebus sabaeus (green monkey) is the source of this 1587-nucleotide non-coding RNA. The record is from RefSeq and is a predicted model, not a curated record. NCBI's taxonomy places the organism in Eukaryota, Metazoa, Chordata, Mammalia, Primates, Cercopithecidae.
GGGCAACAGAGCAAGACUCCAUCUCGAAAAAAUAUAUAUCUAUAUAUCCUUACUUAAAUAGCCCAACACUCAAUAGGUCUUCACCUAUUGAUCCAAAAUAAUACUAAUAGCUGCCACUUACUGAGUUCCCUAUUAGGAAUCAAGUACCAUUACAUUUCACGUAGUCCUCAUAACUGCCUUAUGAGGUAAAUACUAAAUCCCCUUUUUAUAGGGGAGGUGAUUGAGGCUCAAAGGAGGUAAGCCACUUGCUCAAAGCUACCCAGCAUGCCAGUGGAAAAGCCCCUAUUGGACCAGGAUCUUUGGCUCCCAAGCCUCUGGCCUUGACCACUCUGCUGUAAACAGUGGGCUGGAAGGUAUCUGGGUUCAUGGUUCUUUGGGAAUACAAAUCUGCAUAUUCAGAGACAACUGGAAAUGAGCCUCCUUCAGUGCAAACUAUUUGGCUUCAACUAGUAGCACUUAGUUUGUUCAGUUACCUAAAAGGUAAUAUGCUGAAUUCUUCCAAAAGGAAAAUCAAUCAAGACUCUUCUAUUUGGAUGUUUACAUUCAAAUGGACAGACUGGGAAGGACAUGCAAAUUUAAUCUGCUCAUAUGACAGAUUCCCUGUGGCGGGAAAGCAGAUGUGGAUGUCCUCUAUAGGUGGGCCAGCCUCUUUGUUCAGGAGACCUGGGUUCUUGGGCCCUCAGGAUACUGAGCAAUUAGCCCUGAUUUAGUAGGUCUAACUGAAGUCUGAAGAAGAAAGGAGUAUCCCUUGGACUGUAAGUACUUUUCUACAAUCCCUGCUGUGGGGCUUAAGGAUCCAAGUAGGUUCUGAGUACUCCCCUACAUGCCCCAUGGGAAGGCAGUAAGACAUCAGUCCUCUCCCUGGCCUAGCUGCUCAUUACACCAUGACCUCUCUUGCCUACUCCAGCUCCGAAGCCUGGUGGAGGAACCCUUGCUGGGGGCUGGCUCAACGAGAACAACAUCAUAACAGAGUCAGAGGAAGAUGAAGCCCAGAGACACGAUGUGACCUGUGUGGAGAUGUGGAGUGAGGCAGCCGUGAAGCUGCAGUGCCUUACCUCAGAGCCUGGGGGCACUGGACCUGUACCUUCCCCCUGCCCUUGUCUCGGAAGAAACUCUCCAGGUCCUCCUCAUCUUCAGAGAGGUUUUCAUCACUCUCUGGGUCAGACUGAAAGAGAGACUCCAACAGACACGGUCUGCCUUUCUGCUUCAGUACCUGUAAGGUCUGGUAAAAGCUCCCAGUUGAGUCAGAAGUAGAAUCUAUCUCCUCCUCUGGGCUGAGGAACUCGUCAAGUUUGCUGGCCCUGGGCAAAACCAGCCCAUCCCCAGACAGCUCCUCUCCUGCCUCUGUGUCUGGGGAGGAUUUGGGGGAAAAUACCUACAAUAGAAUAGAAAUAGACUGUGAGUGAAACAAUAAUUUCAAAGGUAUUCAAAUCAUAACUUAAUUUCACUUUGAACAAGCCUCUGUAUAUUAGGGACUGGGGAGAAUUUGGGGUCUGCCAGGUGCGCUGGCUCAUCCCUGUAAUCCCAAUACUUGGGGAGGAAUUUUUUAAAAUAAGAUGUGUUUCUUGCUCUAAAGACAUUUCACAA